This 497-nucleotide ribosomal RNA is filed under the name uncultured bacterium. Its description in RNAcentral is "partial 16S ribosomal RNA". It matches the Rfam family "Bacterial small subunit ribosomal RNA", at positions 28 to 507 of the family's 1533-position model. The record is from RNAcentral.
GAUGAACGCUGGCGGCGUGCCUAAUACAUGCAAGUCGAGCGAACGGACGAGAAGCUUGCUUCUCUGAUGUUAGCGGCGGACGGGUGAGUAACACGUGGAUAACCUACCUAUAAGACUGGGAUAACUUCGGGAAACCGUAGCUAAUACCGGAUAAUAUUUUGAACCGCAUGGUUCAAAAGUGAAAGACGGUCUUGCUGUCACUUAUAGAUGGAUCCGCGCUGCAUUAGCUAGUUGGUAAGGUAACGGCUUACCAAGGCAACGAUGCAUAGCCGACCUGAGAGGGUGAUCGGCCACACUGGAACUGAGACACGGUCCAGACUCCUACGGGAGGCAGCAGUAGGGAAUCUUCCGCAAUGGGCGAAAGCCUGACGGAGCAAUGCCGCGUGAGUGAUGAAGGUCUUCGGAUCGUAAAACUCUGUUAUUAGGGAAGAACAUAUGUGUAAGUAACUGUGCACAUCUUGACGGUACCUAAUCAGAAAGCCACGGCUAACUACGUG